CGAUACAGGGUGACAGCCCCGUACACAAAAGCGCAUGUGCUGUGAGCUCGAUGAGUAGGGCGGGACACGUGGUAUCCUGUCUGAAUAUGGGGGGACCAUCCUCCAAGGCUAAAUACUCCUGACUGACCGAUAGUGAACCAGUACCGUGAGGGAAAGGCGAAAAGAACCCCGGCGAGGGGAGUGAAAAAGAACCUGAAACCGUGUACGUACAAGCAGUGGGAGCCCCACCACCAAAGCAUUCUCUGGUGUUGAAGGCCCUGCAAAGCAGCAUCGCGGUGGCGGAGCGUCGUUUGCGACGCCCAACACACAAAACAAGCGGUGAGUGCUUUGGGGUGGGGUGACUGCGUACCUUUUGUAUAAUGGGUCAGCGACUUAUAUUCUGUAGCAAGGUUAACCGAAUAGGGGAGCCGGAGGGAAACCGAGUCUUAAUUGGGCGUUAAGUUGCAGGGUAUAGACCCGAAACCCGGUGAUCUAGCCAUGGGCAGGUUGAAGGUUGGGUAACACUAACUGGAGGACCGAACCGACUAAUGUUGAAAAAUUAGCGGAUGACCUGUGGCUGGGGGUGAAAGGCCAAUCAAACCGGGAGAUAGCUGGUUCUCCCCGAAAGCUAUUUAGGUAGCGCCUCGUGAAUUCAUCUCCGGGGGUAGAGCACUGUUUCGGCUAGGGGGCCAUCCCGGCUUACCAACCCGAUGCAAACUGCGAAUACCGGAGAAUGUUAUCACGGGAGACACACGGCGGGUGCUAACGUCCGUCGUGAAGAGGGAAACAACCCAGACCGCCAGCUAAGGUCCCAAAGUCAUGGUUAAGUGGGAAACGAUGUGGGAAGGCCCAGACAGCCAGGAUGUUGGCUUAGAAGCAGCCAUCAUUUAAAGAAAGCGUAAUAGCUCACUGGUCGAGUCGGCCUGCGCGGAAGAUGUAACGGGGCUAAACCAU
RNAcentral lists this ribosomal RNA (933 nucleotides) under Salmonella enterica. RNAcentral describes it as "partial 23S ribosomal RNA". It matches the Rfam family "Bacterial large subunit ribosomal RNA", at positions 354 to 1190 of the family's 2925-position model. Lineage: Bacteria; Pseudomonadati; Pseudomonadota; Gammaproteobacteria; Enterobacterales; Enterobacteriaceae. The record is from RNAcentral.